This 504-nucleotide ribosomal RNA is filed under the name uncultured bacterium. RNAcentral's name for it is "partial 16S ribosomal RNA". It matches the Rfam family "Bacterial small subunit ribosomal RNA", at positions 28 to 523 of the family's 1533-position model. The record is from RNAcentral.
GACGAACGCUGGCGGCAUACCUUACACAUGCAAGUCGAACGGCAGCAUGGAGAGCUUGCUCUCUGAUGGCGAGUGGCGAACGGGUGAGUAAUGCAUCGGAACGUACCGUGUAAUGGGGGAUAACGUAGCGAAAGUUACGCUAAUACCGCAUACGACCUGAGGGUGAAAGCAGGGGAUCGCAAGACCUCGCGUUAUACGAGCGGCCGAUGUCAGAUUAGCUAGUUGGUGAGGUAAAGGCUCACCAAGGCGACGAUCUGUAGCGGGUCUGAGAGGAUGAUCCGCCACACUGGGACUGAGAGACGGCCCAGACUCCUACGGGAGGCAGCAGUGGGGAAUUUUGGACAAUGGGGGCAACCCUGAUCCAGCCAUGCCGCGUGAGUGAAGAGGGCCUUCGGGUUGUAAAGCUCUUUCGGCCGGGAAGAAAUCGCACAGGCUAAUACUCUGUGUGGAUGACGGUACCGGCAUAAGAAGCACCGGCUAACUACGUGCCAGCAGCCGCCGUAA